UACGAAGGGGGCUAGCGUUGUUCGGAAUUACUGGCGUAAAGCGCGUGUAGGCGGGUCUUUAAGUCAGGGGUGAAAUGCCAGGGCUCAACCUUGGAACUGCCUUUGAUACUGGAGACCUUGAGUCCGGGAGAGGUGAGUGGAAUUGCGAGUGUAGAGGUGAAAUUCGUAGAUAUUCGCAAGAACACCAGUGGCGAAGGCGGCUCACUGGCCCGGAACUGACGCUGAGACGCGAAAGCGUGGGGAGCAACAGG
This 251-nucleotide ribosomal RNA is filed under the name uncultured bacterium. RNAcentral's name for it is "partial 16S ribosomal RNA". It matches the Rfam family "Bacterial small subunit ribosomal RNA", at positions 524 to 775 of the family's 1533-position model. The record is from RNAcentral.